Long non-coding RNA from Hemiscyllium ocellatum (epaulette shark), 754 nucleotides. RefSeq lists it as uncharacterized. The transcript is spliced from 2 exons. Lineage: Eukaryota; Metazoa; Chordata; Chondrichthyes; Orectolobiformes; Hemiscylliidae. The record is from RefSeq and is a predicted model, not a curated record.
ACCACAGCCACAUCUCCUUCCUCAGCACCUGCCUAAGGAACCGACUGAUCCCACACGGACUCCGAACUACAUUCCAACCAACAAAAUUUGGCCGCCUGGGAACCCUCCAACCACAAGGCAGAACACACAUUUGAUGGAGAAGAAAAAUGCUAAAGAACUGCGGAUGCUGAAAAUCAAGAACAAGAUCAGAAAUCGCUGAAAAAGCUUAGCAUGUCUGGCAGCAUCUGUGGAGAGAAAACAAAGUUAACGUUUCGGAUCCAGUGACCCUUCUUCAGAAUUCUGACCAGCUGAGUUUUUCCUGAUUUUGUUACAUCGUUGACAGAGGCGAAAUGCGGAUUAUGGUCAAUGGAAUAAAUCCCUUCUUCCUCAAUGAUCAGGCAAAUACCAUUCCAGCUGAGUGGAACCGCCCAAGUGGAAAUAAAACAAAAUCGAAAUUUUUAAAGGUUGUAGUAAAAAGCAUCACUCAUACUACGAUUAAGCAGCUGAGCUUAAUUGCCUGAUCUACCAGCCUUUAUCACAAGUUGUCCUACUGGGAUGUGGAAUAGUCUGAUGGGCCAGGAGCUUCAGUCAGGCUGGAGAACCAGGUUUGAGGUCUUUUACACAAGAGGAGUGAUGUAAAGCUGCUCUAAAAACAGCCGCCAUUGACGCAUCUGCCUUGCUCAUCUGACUGAAAGUGCAAUCAAAUGUGCAUUAGUUGUGUGUGUCAUUGUACAGAGGGUCACUAUGGAAUAAACAUCAAGUAACAAAAAAAUAA